RNAcentral lists this ribosomal RNA (500 nucleotides) under uncultured Glomeromycotina. Its description in RNAcentral is "partial small subunit ribosomal RNA". It matches the Rfam family "Eukaryotic small subunit ribosomal RNA", at positions 591 to 1092 of the family's 1831-position model. The record is from RNAcentral. Lineage: Eukaryota; Fungi; Glomeromycota.
CCAAUAGCGUAUAUUAAAGUUGUUGCAGUUAAAAAGCUCGUAGUUGAACUGCGGGAUCAAUUGAUAUGGUCAUGCCUUGGUAUGUACUGUUCAUAUUGGUUCUCACCUUCUAAUGAACCAUAAUGUCAUUUAUUUGAUGUUAUGGUGAAUUAGGACUGUUACCUUGAAAAAAUUAGAGUGUUUAAAGCAGGCUCACGCUUGCAUACAUUAGCAUGGAAUAAUGAAAUAGGACAUCGCAUUCUAUUUUGUUGGUUUCUAGGAUCGAUGUAAUGAUUAAUAGGGAUAGUUGGGGGCAUUAGUAUUCAAUUGUCAGAGGUGAAAUUCUUGGAUUUAUUGAAGACUAACUACUGCGAAAGCAUUUGCCAAGGAUGUUUUCAUUAAUCAAGAACGAAAGUUAGGGGAUAGAAGACGAUCAGAUACCGUCGUAGUCUUAACCAUAAACUAUGCCGACUAGGGAUCGGAUGAUGUUGAUUUUUUAAUGACUCAUUCGGCACCUUACG